RNAcentral lists this ribosomal RNA (139 nucleotides) under Dendrobium albosanguineum. RNAcentral's name for it is "partial 28S ribosomal RNA". The record is from RNAcentral. Lineage: Eukaryota; Viridiplantae; Streptophyta; Magnoliopsida; Asparagales; Orchidaceae.
UCUUCAUCUCACUGGCUGCGAACAAUAAGGGGUGGAUUUAAGCGAGGCCUAUGUUAUUGUGUCGUGCAUGCCACCGAGAAGAUUAUACUUAUUCAGGUGAUCCCAAGCCAAGCACCGAUCCAAGGAUUGUGUUUGGAAU